RNAcentral lists this ribosomal RNA (1287 nucleotides) under metagenome. RNAcentral describes it as "bacterial SSU rRNA". It matches the Rfam family "Bacterial small subunit ribosomal RNA", at positions 242 to 1520 of the family's 1533-position model. The record is from RNAcentral.
UAGCUAGUUGGUGAGGUAAAGGCUUACCAAGGCGACGAUCUGUAGCGGGUCUGAGAGGAUGAUCCGCCACACUGGAACUGAGACACGGUCCAGACUCCUACGGGAGGCAGCAGUGGGGAAUUUUGGACAAUGGGGGCAACCCUGAUCCAGCCAUGCCGCGUGAGUGAAGAAGGCCUUCGGGUUGUAAAGCUCUUUCGGCCGGGAAGAAAUCGCAUGGGCCAAUACCCUGUGUGGAUGACGGCACCGGAAUAAGAAGCACCGGCUAACUACGUGCCAGCAGCCGCGGUAAUACGUAGGGUGCGAGCGUUAAUCGGAAUUACUGGGCGUAAAGCGUGCGCAGGCGGUUUUGUAAGACAGGCGUGAAAUCCCCGGGCUUAACCUGGGAACUGCGUUUGUGACUGCAAGGCUAGAGUACGGCAGAGGGGGGUGGAAUUCCACGUGUAGCAGUGAAAUGCGUAGAGAUGUGGAGGAACACCAAUGGCGAAGGCAGCCCCCUGGGUCGAUACUGACGCUCAUGCACGAAAGCGUGGGUAGCAAACAGGAUUAGAUACCCUGGUAGUCCACGCCCUAAACUAUGUCAACUAGGUGUUGGGUGGGUAAAACCAUUUAGUACCGUAGCUAACGCGUGAAGUUGACCGCCUGGGGAGUACGGCCGCAAGGUUAAAACUCAAAGGAAUUGACGGGGACCCGCACAAGCGGUGGAUGAUGUGGAUUAAUUCGAUGCAACGCGAAAAACCUUACCUACCCUUGACAUGCCAGGAACUUGCCAGAGAUGGCUUGGUGCCCGAAAGGGAGCCUGGACACAGGUGCUGCAUGGCUGUCGUCAGCUCGUGUCGUGAGAUGUUGGGUUAAGUCCCGCAACGAGCGCAACCCUUGUCGUUAAUUGCCAUCAUUUAGUUGGGCACUUUAACGAGACUGCCGGUGACAAACCGGAGGAAGGUGGGGAUGACGUCAAGUCCUCAUGGCCCUUAUGGGUAGGGCUUCACACGUCAUACAAUGGUCGGUACAAAGGGUUGCCAAGCCGCGAGGCGGAGCCAAUCCCAGAAAGCCGAUCGUAGUCCGGAUUGCAGGCUGCAACUCGCCUGCAUGAAGUCGGAAUCGCUAGUAAUCGUGGAUCAGCAUGUCACGGUGAAUACGUUCCCGGGUCUUGUACACACCGCCCGUCACACCAUGGGAGCGGGUUCCGCCAGAAGUAGGUAGCCUAACCGCAAGGGGGGCGCUUACCACGGCGGGGUUCGUGACUGGGGUGAAGUCGUAACAAGGUAGCCGUAGGGGAACCUGCGGCUG